This is a long non-coding RNA of Pleuronectes platessa (European plaice), 844 nucleotides long. RefSeq lists it as uncharacterized. NCBI's taxonomy places the organism in Eukaryota, Metazoa, Chordata, Actinopteri, Pleuronectiformes, Pleuronectidae. The transcript has 5 exons. The record is from RefSeq and is a predicted model, not a curated record.
AGAGCACAACACUCACGAACCUAACUUCCAGCUGCAGCUGCUGCUAUGGCCGCUCGUUCAAGAUACCGGAGCAAGCACAUCUGUUCACGGUGCUAGGCUACAUCACGUAGCAUGCCAGACGGACCCACCACAGAUGCGCACACAUGGAACGCAGCUUUCUAUGAAAACACUGCGACCUCACUACAAAAGUACAGGCACACAGAAAACUGUGCUGCACUGAUGUCGGUGUUGGGACCUCAGCUGUAAGAGACCUUGCUUGGAGGAGGGAGAGGACAAGAUGUGACAAUGGAAUCUUCCAACCCUGUUCAUAAGACACCCACAUAUAUUGUCUAUGAAAACUGCCUCCUGGAGCUGUUUGAGGUGUGUCCUGUGUGUCGGCUGGGGACAGAUGUAAUAUAUAAGAAGGGCGAGUGCACAGAAAAGCCGGUGAAAGCAGAUGCAAUCUUCCAUGAUUCUUACAGGCUCUAUUUAAAAGCCAAACAAUGUGAAAACAAUUACAUGGAUAACCUGUUGGACCUCAUCUUUCACCAGGUUUUUCAGGACCCGGCCCCAUAUGUGAAUGAGGUGCUGAAGAUCUCAAAACCUGAGGAUCUCUCUGCCUAGUAUGAGAAACCUGACAAGCAGGAAGUUAUAGCCAGCUAUGUGUCGAGUUUCAAUCAAGGGCAGGUCUGAACCCUGUAUAACUUCCCUGAGCAUCAGGGAACACUCUGCGUAUCUGUAGCACCGAGCAGGAGGGCAGGACCACCCUGAUUCUCCGGCCCAGAGGGCCUCAACACCAGCUCACAAAGCUUCUGUACGCCAAAUACCUGUAACGGCUGAGCAAAGUUCACAUUGUAUUUAGAGA